AACGAACGCUGGCGGCAUGCCUAACACAUGCAAGUCGAACGAGACCUUCGGGUCUAGUGGCGCACGGGUGCGUAACGCGUGGGAACCUGCCCUUAGGUUCGGAAUAACUCCCCGAAAGGGGUGCUAAUACCGGAUAAUGUCUUCGGACCAAAGAUUUAUCGCCUUUGGAUGGGCCCGCGUUGGAUUAGCUAGUUGGUAGGGUAAAAGCCUACCAAGGCGACGAUCCAUAGCUGGUCUGAGAGGAUGAUCAGCCACACUGGGACUGAGACACGGCCCAGACUCCUACGGGAGGCAGCAGUGGGGAAUAUUGGACAAUGGGCGAAAGCCUGAUCCAGCAACGCCGCGUGAGUGAUGAAGGCCUUAGGGUUGUAAAGCUCUUUUACCCGGGAUGAUAUUGACAGUACCGGGAGAAUAAGCUCCGGCUAACUCCGUG
RNAcentral lists this ribosomal RNA (433 nucleotides) under uncultured bacterium. Its description in RNAcentral is "partial 16S ribosomal RNA". It matches the Rfam family "Bacterial small subunit ribosomal RNA", at positions 29 to 507 of the family's 1533-position model. The record is from RNAcentral.